RNAcentral lists this ribosomal RNA (660 nucleotides) under Delma fraseri. Its description in RNAcentral is "partial 12S ribosomal RNA". It matches the Rfam family "Bacterial small subunit ribosomal RNA", at positions 311 to 1337 of the family's 1533-position model. Lineage: Eukaryota; Metazoa; Chordata; Lepidosauria; Squamata; Pygopodidae. The record is from RNAcentral.
AAGACGCCUAGCCAAAGGCCACACCCCCACGGGACCCAGCAGUAAUAAACAUUAAGCAAUAAGCGACAACCAAAGCUUGACUUAGCUAUGAUAAACAUCAGGGCUGGUAAAUUUCGUGCCAGCCACCGCGGUUACACGAAAAGCCCAAAAUAAUACCCACCGGCGUAAAGCGUGACUAAAAAAGAGUUUUAAAAAGAAACUUUAAACCCCCUCUAAGUUAUAAAACACAUCAAGAGAACAGGAAACUCCAAAUUUCACCCAAAAACACUUUGACUCACGAAAACUAAGAAACAAACUGGGAUUAGAUACCCUACUAUGCUUAGCCGUAAACAUAGAUUUUUUUAAGAACACAACUAUCCGCCAGAGAAUUACCAGUGAAAAACUUAAAACUCAAAGGACUUGACGGUGUCUCAUAUCAACCUAGAGGAGCCUGUCCUAUUAUCGAUACCCCACGAAAAACCUCACCCCCAUUAGCAUGUCAGCCUAUAUACCGCCGUCGUCAGCCUACCUUGUGAAAGACCCAAAGUAGGCACAACAAGUCAAACCACAAAAACGUCAGGUCAAGGUGUAGCACAUAUGGCGGAAAGAGAUGGGCUACAUUUCCUAAAAGGACAAACAAAAAUAUUGCCCUUGAAAAAGCAUAAUACGGUGGAUUUAGUA